CAGAGGCACCCAGAGCAGGUGACACAGGAAAGCAUCCAGCAAAUGCAACUAUUGUUCUUGACAAACACAUGAUUUACAAAAUGAAGAAUAAAGAAUUAUGCCAGCUAGAGAGAGAGAGAAGGGAGAUGAAACAAGCACAGUAAUACACAGGAGGCAAAAAGAAAGAGCGAGAACAUUACGUUCAUCAGCCACGGACCCAAAUUAGCUUGGGAAAGAGAUGUGGAAAUUGGAUUAACUCCUAUGAAAACAUCAGGAACAACAGUGCUCAGCUCAGGAAUCUCCUCUGCUGCACCAGCACCAAACACAUCCUGGGAUCGUGGCAGCUGGACAUGGGGGACUGCUGAGUGGUGGGAAUUAUUGGUGCCCAAAGGACUCACCUGCAGCAUGGACCUGGAUGUGGAUGUGGCUGGAAAAGCCUUUGUUCCCCAUCCCACUCUGUACCUGGUUUAGCUCCGUUCCCAGCCGGGCCCAACCCACGGCUCAGCCCUGGAUCAUUCCCUCAUCGGGAUCCAUUCCUGCCUGGAAUUCUGAAACACCAGUGACAGUGGUUCUCUAGGACUUGUGUCAACCUGUGCCAGUGCUUUCCUGGGAUUUGGACACAGGAAUAUGUGAGGAUGCUCUUCCUUCUCCACCCCGCUUCGUCCCAUGAACUGCUUACACGAAACCAGGAAAACUCGGCAAGAGAGGAGAAAAAAAUCGGUCUGGACUGAAAGCAAACUACUCCUGCCCCCCCAGCAGUGCCGUCAUCCACCGAGGGAAGGAAGCGGGGCCACGGAAACACCGGGAAGUACAACACCUAAACGCUCCCAGGAGCUUGGACACAGCUCUGGGAUGGGGUGGGAUGGGAGGCAGCGGGGGCUCGGGGAGCCACGGACACGCCCGAGGGACACCGGCGACCGGAGCGACGUGGGACGGAAAAACGGGAGCCACUGCACCCCAAAACAGCGGGAAUGGGAACCCAGCGGAGCAGGGCCAUGGAGCUGCCCCACGGAGCCGUGGGGUCCCACCCGGGCCGGAGGGGACGAGCCCGGAGGAGCCCAGAGGUAGGUGCUGCGUGCCCGGGAACGCGGGAGCCCAGCCCAGGGAAUCGUCAUCCUCGGGGUCAUUCCUUCGGACACGCACCGUGGGACCUGGGACAGGAGCAAGGAGUUGGGAUCCUGGCACCCUGGAGAGCCCAGGGAGCUGAUCGCUGCCAGUCCUCGCUAGAGAGCGACACCGGGAAUGCGGGGGGAAGGAAUCUGAGGUAAGUGGUGAUCCCGGAUGAAGGACUCCAGCCCGGGACUGGGAAUGGUGAGCAGAACUAUCCCAGGAAGCCUUGAGGAUGCCACGGCUCCCCUCGCCAUCCCCACCGUCCGUGGGGAAAAAGAAAAAUGAAAUCCAAUGGAAAGAAUGUUGUGCUACACUCCCGUUGGUUAAGUUUAUAAUGGCUCAUAGCUUUAGACUUUUAAAUCUGUAGUGUAUUAAUUUCUUCUUUUUUCUACAUAUGUUUCACAUUUCUCACUUAAUAUAACAUAAAUAAUUUGGUUAAUAGAUUUAACCUGCGCAUUUCAGCCACAUUAAUAUAUAUAAGAAUCUGUUAAUGGUAUAAAUAAUUCUUUUUAAAUAAAAUAAAUCUGAUAUGUUACAUAAUACUGAUAAAAAUCACUGCUGCUAAUAAGUUUUGUAAGCCACCCUUAACUCCUUUUUGUGUUUCAAUACCGAGGGAUGGAUAGCGGGAUUACCUUUUCCAGAGCAUUGCCCUUCCAUUCUACUGCCAAACCAACUGGAACCAACACUGAUCCCUUCUCAAAGCAGGGCCUCUGCCCCCCUGCAGGGUUAAUGAAGUUAGACAAUCUCGGCUAAUUAAUCCAGGGGUCAAUGUUACGGGGGGGGGGGUAUCGACUGGUUAGUUCCUCAGGGGGCUCUGAAACCUCACCUACAGAACUGCUUGACUAAAACAGGCCUCCUACUGUUCCUUUGUCCUCUUCAGUCCAACCUACAGCAUCCUACUGGAAAAGCUACGGAAACCAAAAGCAACCGAUGGCUGCGGCCUUGGAAUUCUCCAUCAGAGCUGCGAUCCCACAUCCCAUGAGGAAUCUGCACUCUCCUGCAGGGACCUGAGUGGAGUACAGCACUUCCAGGCAAGGUUCAUUCCAAACAGACAGGAUCCAUGAACACUCAGUGGCGUGAAGGGGAUGUCAUAAUUAAGACAUCUCUGCUCCUGCUGCUGCACCUCCCUUGGGCUCCUCUGACAUCCAACAGCCAAGAAAACAAGGAAAGGAAGGUGUAAGAUUCCUCCUUUCUCCUGCUGGGGAAACCCCAGCCUGGCUGCUCUCCAACACACCCAUUAUUGCUCUGAACACCCCCAUGGAAACCAAAAUCAAACGAUGUCUAAGCCAGAGAACAGGGAGAAGCACAAAUCCCAACAGCAAACAAUUGUCACAAUGCAGGAGGGGCACGUUUGGUACACAAACACUUCCAGAGAUGUUUCAGGGAAGCUCCACGGAAAAGAGGAUUUCCAGAAGUGCUGCAGGUGACUCCCACCAUGGAUGUGACUGAAGGGCAGAACUCCUGAAGCCCAUUUGGUUUUAAAGGCGAUUUCUUUUUGGUUUUCCAGGUUAUUUCUCUUGGUUUGGUGUGGGUUUUUUUUUUCCCUGUAUCCCACCUUUCACCCCCAACUCCUGCCCUUUGGAAUGGCCGUUCACUCUGUGCUUCUUGAUGGAGACAAUCAGACACACUUUUAAAAUUUUUUUUUAAAAUUUAAACUGAUUAAAUUAAAGGUCUUCUGAUGCCAGAGGUGAUCCAUGACUUCCUGAUGAGGGACUUGAAGGGGUACCUUGACAGGAGCAUUCCCAGGCUUUGCUUCCCUGGUUUUUGGGCUUCAGCACCCAAUGAAAUGGGUGCCACUGGAUUUCUCUCACACAAUAUUCAUGGAAUGCACACAAACCCCACAAAAACAAAGGAGGCAGGUUUGCACAAAGCAACAACACGUUCUGGUGCCCCCAAACCAGGGAGGAAACACGGAAUCGCCAAGGAAUGGAAAGCAAAAUAAAUUCACCUCUUUACAGGAGUUCUAAAACCAAAACUCUUCAGUUAUAUCCAGCACAACUAUAUCAGUCACAGAGAUGUGGAUACACAAUUUUGGAAGUUAAUACAUAAAUCCAUACUGGGAACAUGUGAGAGCCAUAACUGUGUUCCUGAUUCACACGGGACAGGGAUAUUGUACAUCUGAUUUUUCCAGUUUUGUUUAAUCUUUAAUAGUUUGGGGUCUUCUCCUGUGCCUGCACUUUGUAAACUGACUGGAAAUUUGGGGAUGUGACCAUCCCAGGGACUGAGCUUUGCAGCCUUGUCCUGGUUUGGGCUGGGACAGAGUUACACCAGGACAAGCUCUGGAAUAUUGUCACCUGCAAAGAGAGACUGAAGUUCUCCUGAAUUAGGGUGCAACAACCCCGGUUAUUUUAUAAGAACUACAAAGAUAAAAUGUUAUACAAGUAGUGGAGACCAGACUUGGAAAUAUUUACUGUAACAAAGUAACCAAUAACUCCUCGAUAA
Molecule: long non-coding RNA, 3531 nt
Organism: Pipra filicauda (Wire-tailed manakin)
Lineage: Eukaryota; Metazoa; Chordata; Aves; Passeriformes; Pipridae
Exons: 6
Source: RefSeq, a predicted model, not a curated record